RNAcentral lists this long non-coding RNA (291 nucleotides) under Mytilus galloprovincialis (Mediterranean mussel). Lineage: Eukaryota; Metazoa; Mollusca; Bivalvia; Mytilida; Mytilidae. The record is from RNAcentral.
UUAUUAAGGUCUUUCCUUUCUUAAAUGGAAAGACCUUACUGUAUUUCGUUUGUUUAUUAUUAUUAUUAUUCUUUUUCCUCGUCCGUUUUUAAAGUCAAAAAUCAAGAAAAGUACGCAACAUAUCCAAAUGAUCUUUGGUAUCAUGUAUCAGGGGUAUAAUAUCUAUCUUGUAUUAGAAUAACCAAGGUUUACUGUUUACCUUAUAGGAGUUAUCUCCCCAAUUACAAAAAACACUGUUAUCGCUACUCCUCAUGAACUAUAAGACUUAGCGGCAAAUAGUUUUUUUUUAAA